This 566-nucleotide long non-coding RNA is filed under the name Bos taurus (domestic cattle). Its description in RNAcentral is "long non-coding RNA NONBTAT014175". Lineage: Eukaryota; Metazoa; Chordata; Mammalia; Artiodactyla; Bovidae. The record is from RNAcentral.
UUAACCCUUUAAAAUUUUUAAUUCAUAUGGAAGUAUCUUCAUGUUAGCUUUAAGACAAAAAAUAUCAUAGCUAGAACUUUGGUCUUUCUCUGCAACUAGAUAAUUAAGUGUUAAAUAGUAUGACUUGUUUUAUUAUUAUCAUAUAGUCUUUUCAGUCCACAUUGGAAACCAGUUUGUGUUCUUUCUUUCUUAAGCUGUCAGUUCUGUCCUCUGUGCUUGCUUUUUAAGUAGACGUCAUAGCUUGAGAAUGCCGUAGUCAUUUUUCCAAAGCGAGCACACUGUACUGUUAAUUUGUUAAGAGUAGGUUAAGGCUUUGGGAGGUGGUUACAGAGCUUAAAGACGUCUGGGGAGCCUGCUCAGCAGUGGGAGGUGAACGGGUGUCCAGGAGACGGCUGUGCUGGAGGCGCCUGCUGGGCAGGGGCGCUGUGUUGCUGGGACACUCAUGUGUGAAUGGUCCAGAGUGACACAGUGGGGAAGGGGUAGUCAUCACGAUCCUUAAGGUCAUUGGGUUGCUUAAUGUUUUAAUAAUUGUCACUGAUUGUAUUUCUGCUUACUACAAAAUUAAA